This is a long non-coding RNA of Chinchilla lanigera (long-tailed chinchilla), 5650 nucleotides long. RefSeq lists it as uncharacterized. The transcript has 3 exons. The record is from RefSeq and is a predicted model, not a curated record. Lineage: Eukaryota; Metazoa; Chordata; Mammalia; Rodentia; Chinchillidae.
UUUCACUGCUGCUGCUUAUGAAGAGUGGGAUGAAUUUCUAGCCACCAAGCCCUUCUGAGUGUGUUUCCAUAUUUGUGAAAUGAUCACUCCAAAUCCCUACUCAACAGCCCAAUGAUGGAGAUAACAGAAGGCCGAAUGAGUCUCCAAGGAGAUUCCACAUGAGUCGUGCUGAGGGAGCGGGUGGACUUCUUCACGAUGUGGUAUUCCUGAACACCAGCACACGGUGAGGCUCAGAGCAUAAGAUGUGGCAAGAAGGAGAAGAACAUCAAGAAACUCCAAAUCAUCCAGGGCUCAGGAGGUCCUCAAGUGAGGUGUGUUUCUCCCCUAGGCACUGAAACACAUUAACCGAAUGCAACUAUGCGCUGUCAAAGGUAAUUCUAUCAUUGGCCUGAACCAUAGCACAACAGCUGGAAUGCAAACAAAGGGGACGCUGCUGUUUAUCUUCACAUAAGAUUCUGACUCUGCAUCACCAUUACCUUCACUGGCAGCCUCAGAAAACAGACAUCUCAAGGGUUUUAGUACUUUAAAGGCUUCCUGAAGCUCAUCAAGAAAGUUAUGCUCUGAUAUAUGGUGCACAAGAUAGUCAUGUUAUGCUGCUCCCCUCUGUAUUUAUUGCCAUCAUUUUGUCCAUGGUUGAAGAAAUUUUUUGUCUCAUUCUUCUUUUUUUGUUUUUUUGAGACAGAGUCUUGCUAUGUUUAGGCUGGUCUCGCAUUCACUGUGAUCCUCCUGCCUCAUCCUCCCAGGUAUUAUAGGUGUGCGUCACCAUACCUGCCUUCAGUUUCAUUUUUGAACUGCUACUGUCCUUUAGUCUUAGUAUAUUCCACUUUACGUUUCAAUGUGUGUACACAGAUUCAGACCCCAAGGGACAUGGAGGCUUAAAUUAAGAAAAUAGGAGUGGCAUUAAUAAGAGGAAAGUGUAGAAAGGGGAAGAGCUGAAAGGCAUCUUUGGAAAACUGGACUGGAGUGCAUAAAGACAGGAAGCAAUUGACCUGAAGUGAUCAGGUUGCCGUAUGACUUCUACAGUAUUAUUUUCAUGAAAGAAAUUAAUUCGAGGGCAGAGAAACUGUUAUGUACUACAGAAGUACAUAUUUCAUUUUCACAAAAAUUUGAAGGAAUUUUUCAAAUCCAAAAGGGAAACGAAAGUUGAUUGCCUAUGGACAGGUUUCUUUAACUGGAUUUCCAAAGGCUCCCUGCUAUGAUGUCAGCCUUUGUAGACUGGGAAGCCAUCGAUGGCUCCCAACACAGAUUCAUAAAUUAUAAAUCUACACUCUUUGGCUAAUGUCCUCCUGCACUAUAUAACACAAAGCAAUCUAAAAACAAGGUAAAUCUGUACAAGUUCUAGUAUCUUCUUCCCAUACUCCCAGGGACCACCUGACUUCCCCUCUGGGUGUGCCCGCUCCACGUGGGAGACCCCUGCACUAUGAGGCUCUGAGUGGAAUAAAAUAUUUGCUUUUCUAUGCACAUCACACAAGUUAUCUGCUUCCUUGGGAACUGCAAACUGCAUGGAUGAAAAUGUAGCACAGCGCCGGGUAGCAAGUUGGAACAGGUCCCUGAAAAUGUGCCACAGGAAUAAGCCUAAUUCAAACAUCAGCAGUUUUCCAGGCAAUUCAUUCUGGCCAAAUAAUUAUCUUUCUCUCAUGCAUUUAACUAAUCACUUCAUCUCUUUAAGUAUGAAACUAAGCCAAAUCAAACCACCCCCAAAUUUAAAUCUUAUUUUCUUAGACCAGCAAUAACCGCAGUCUUUUCUUCCUUAUCUCGCUCUGGCAGUUCUGCAUAUUGCACUGAGUUUCAUGCAGCUUCUCUGUCUGUCCUGCACAGACCAAGGAGCUGCUAAGGCACAGUGCAGUGGACUGAGACCUACCUGUAGUUCACAUUGCAGGGCACCGUGGAGCAAAAUGUACAACCUGGGAAGCUGUGGAUCAGCCUGGUGCUGGGAAUAAUGGUUUCUGCAUCCAUAGCACCAGUCUCUGUAUCAAGCUGCAGGGGCUGCCUCGAAAGGCGAGCACCCCACGUUCCAGCAUGUCCUGCCCUGAAGGAUCUGUCUUCCAAACCUCCCAUGAGCACCACGAACCCUUUGUCCUCAUUUGCUAGCUCCCCAAACUGCAGAAAAGAAGGAGGCAGUGGGGUAACUAACCUCCCUUUAUCUCAAAGCCAUGCACACAGAGACCUCAGGGCUUCACCCAGCCCCUACCAGGAAGCUGCUAGGGGCCCUGCCACUUUGAUGUUUUACAAUCUGAGUGAGCAUCAGAGUCACAUGCUCUGACAACACAGCCUCCCGGGCCUUGUCCCACACAGACCUGCCAGGUAGGCCUCUCCAGACGCACUGGAGAUGGGACAUCAGCUUGAGCCCUGGCUUCCUGCCAUGCACCAGACAGAGGGAGCAAGCACCGCACACAUUUACACAUGUGUGAGCACACUGAUGCCCUUUGCAGUUUUUGUAAACUCUUUUCUCAGUGCCUCCACCUUUUCUCCCUGGCUCUUGGCUGCUUUCCCUCAUAAUUCCCUGGAGCUGUACAGUGACUCUUCUAGGGAAACAAGUUUGUUAUCAGCAGAGCUCAGCGGUCUUCUCUCCCAUCAGGAAUUGCUAGUGGAUAAAGUGCUACGUUUAGACCAGCUAGUCCCUAAAGUUGCUUGGAGCUGAGAAGCCUUAUGGUCCUAUUUACCAGAAUCCACAUCCUCGAUUCUUGUAGCUCAGGGAUCUUUUCCUUGGUGCCUUUUUUGUCAAGUCUUUUUGCCUGUGCUCCACUUGGUACUUUGCCAGCUCCCACUGAGGUCUUUAAUCCUGUGUUAUUGCUUUUAUAUUGGCUUGCUUUACCCUUAACCCAAAAAAAUCUACUUAUUUAUUAAAGAGGUGCUACCAUAAGCAUCCUAUUUUAAGGGAUGGUAUGUACUGUGUUUUCUCACUGUUAGAGUUGGAAAAAUAAUCUUUAUCCCAUUGAUAUCCUUGAAAUUCCCAGAAUGGAAAAGCAGAUAGGUUUUCUAGUUUCAGGACACAAACAAUAAGCACCUAUAAUGUACCAUUGCCCAUUUCAAACUCGAGACAUGCGGGGACAAUGACAGUAAUGGAAACCGAUCAAACUUCAUCAUGACAGGAAAGCAGGGGACACUCCGGGAAAGUAAGAGAGUAUGUCUGCCAUCCACCUGUCCGCUCACCUGUCCACCAUCCCUCCAUCUCAUACACACAUGGCAUGUGCAGUGAGUGUCCAGGAUAGAUGUAUGAGCCACUUGGAUGAUCUCUGCUCCCCUGCAUCCUUCACUAAAGAAGAUGCUCUUAAGUACACCAUCACAUGAGUGAGUAACUGUUAAAAUCUGUGUUAAGGGCCACGGAGGACAAUACAGGGAAGGGCAUAGCUCAUGCUGGGCAUGCAAGAGAUUCCUUGGAAGAAAACUCUGAAGUUAGACAAGUAAAAGUGAAUGCCCAGAAAGAAGAGUGGAAUGGGCGUCUCAAGCAGAGCCUGCCAUAGCCCUCGAUUUGGACGGAUUCUGAGGAGCACAGCACGGCCUAUUGCUGCCCUUUGAAGCAGCCUACCUUAACACUAUCCUCGAGGCUGUAGGGAAAGGACAUUCACUCCUUAAAAAAAGCUCAGAGAGCCCUGUGCCAGUGUUUUUCUCUGUGAAGGUCUGAUUUCCAGUCAGACAGUGAGUAUGCCUUCCUAUUUUAAUACUAAUUAGAUUUUUAAGGUACCUGGUGUCCAUUGUUUUUUGUAUAAGGUUCUAAGUUUCAUUCAGUAGAAAAAUCCAGCAUGGGCUGAAAGAAGAAAUUAUUUCCCAUGGAGGAGUAGCUUUAAUCAACCAGAAAUGAUAGUUUCGGAUGCUGUGAUAAAACUCCUCAGUGUACAGACACUUCUGGAAAUGUUAGAGUGGCUAUUUUCUCAGUUAUUCAACCCAAAUAAAAUGUAAGAGUCUCUCUCUUUUUCUUCUAUAGGAUUAACAUCUUUCCUUGAGAAUACUGUCAGGUCCCUAUCCCCACAUUUGUUCCAGCAACAAAGAAUCAAACACCUGCGUCAGACUUACAGAACCGCAAGGUCCAGCUUUGCUCUUCUUUCCUUUUGAGAAGUGAGUCUUUUAUUCUUUCCCAGUCCUAGUCACCCAAAGUUCCUCCAAGACUUUCUCAAACUCCUGACUGCAGAAACACCAGCACUGAUUCUCUGAUGCCAAAGGAAGCCGGAUACAGGUCUCCUGAUUGAUGUGCUAAACAGACUCUUUCUAGCUGAGCUGUGACAACUGCAGAUUUGGUAGAAACAACUGUUACUUCCAUUUUAAAAAAAGUUUUGUUAAAAAUAUAAAAAGGGAGACAGGCUCCCAAUCACUUCAUGCCUUGUUAUACUGAAAUUUUUCUCUUCUCUUUAUUUUUAAAAAAGUCGCUCUCUCACAGGGCUAGAACAUGGAUCUUUUCUGCUGAAGAAAAUCUCUUUUUUCCUCAGAUGAAAUGUAGCUGUGUAUACUUGGGACAGAACACACAUUUUUGAGUAGUCAGUCAUAAUGACUUCAUGUGCCUUUCAUUUUCUUGUGGGACCUCCAGCAGGAUUUCUCAAAUCUUAGCCUGAGUCCAAAUCACCUGCAUGGCUGAUCAGAAACAGACUGCCGGACGCUGCCCUGUACGUUUCUGACUCAUCAGGUCUGUGCUGGGCCCUAGGAUGUGUAUCUGUAACAAGUCCCUAGGUGAUGUUCAUGCUGUUGGUCAGGUACCACAUUUGAGAACCAUCUACAGCUUUAGGAUUCAGAACAAAACAAAACAAAAACCAUAUACUGACCAUAAGGUAUUUCAUUAGAUACCUUAGGCAGCCCAAGGAGCUAUACCUAACUUCAAAAAUUGAACACUUUAGUAUGUUUCUUUCCUUUCCCAAAGAAUAGGCAGCCAAUAAAAUACAGAACAGUAGGUGCUAAGUGCUCAGGGAGCAGGCCUUUACAGGUUAGGGAGAGAUGACUGUAGGUACAUCAAGCAGAGAAAAGCGCCACAGGUAACUCAGGGUUUUUUCUAGUCUUUGAGAGGAAAGCAGCACUUAGAUAGCCUGGGAGGAGGCUGUGGGAACAAUGCCUCACAGCAAAGCCAUCUCUGUUGCUUUCAACAUGCAGUGUCUCUUCCCAGGGUUGGGAGGGGGCGGGUCUCGGCAUACAGCAGGGCAAGGAUGGCUCGCAUCUGCUACAAGCUUGCACACUCAGCUGUGCCCCCUCUCCAUGAUCUUUCUCAAUCAGCCAGAGGACCAGAAGAGAAACGCUCUUCCUCAUUCUCCAACCAGGCCCAAGGGCCAGACCUAGAAAUGCCACAGUGUCCCACAGGUAUCUUAUUUGUUAGUGGAGACAGUGACCCAAGGCCUCUGAAGGACAGAGAUGGAGAGGAGGCCGGAAGGCACCUGUAAGGGACAAGAGCUAUAAAGAAGGCAGAGGUUCGGGGACACGAGAAAACCAGUCAAGUUUUAAGGGAAGGGUUGGAAGUGGUUAAGCAAUGACAGGAGGAUCAUAGGAGAAUCCAUCCCCACCUUCAACCCCUCAUUACAUUUCAGGUGUUGUACUAGGUUCUAGGGAUACGGAGGUUCUUACAACAUUGUGGUGCUCACCUUUGAAAUGUUUAUGUCUAUUGAGCAAUGUACUUGAGGAUAGCAAUAUGCAAUGUAACAACCACUGUUGAUUUGUAUUAAUUUGUCUUGAG